GGUUAAGCGACUAAGCGUACACGGUGGAUGCCCCGGCAGUCAGAGGCGAUGAAGGACGUGCUAAUCUGCGAUAAGCGUCGGUAAGGUGAUAUGAACCGUUAUAACCGGCGAUUUCCGAAUGGGGAAACCCAGUGUGAUUCGUCACACUAUCAUUAACUGAAUCCAUAGGUUAAUGAGGCGAACCGGGGAACUGAAACAUCUAAGUACCCCGAGGAAAAGAAAUCAACCGAGAUUCCCCCAGUAGCGGCGAGCGAACGGGGAGCAGCCCAGAGCCUGAAUCAGUGUGUGUGUUAGUGGAAGCGUCUGGAAAGGCGCGCGAUACAGGGUGACAGCCCCGUACACAAAAACACAUGCUGUGAGCUCGAUGAGUAGGGCGGGACACGUGGUAUCCUGUCUGAAUAUGGGGGACCAUCCUCCAAGGCUAAAUACUCCUGACUGACCGAUAGUGAACCAGUACCGUGAGGGAAAGGCGAAAAGAACCCCGGCGAGGGGAGUGAAAAAGAACCUGAAACCGUGUACGUACAAGCAGUGGGAGCCUCUUUAUGGGGUGACUGCGUACCUUUGUAUAAUGGGUCAGCGACUUAUAUUCUGUAGCAAGGUUAACCGAAUAGGGGAGCCGAAGGGAAACCGAGUCUUAACUGGGCGUUAAGUUGCAGGGUAUAGACCCGAAACCCGGUGAUCUCAGCCAUGGGCAGGUUGAAGGUUGGGUAACACUAACUGGAGGACCGAACCGACUAAUGUUGAAAAAUUAGCGGAUGACUUGUGGCUGGGGGUGAAAGGCCAAUCAAACCGGGAGAUAGCUGGUUCUCCCCGAAAGCUAUUUAGGUAGCGCCUCGUGAAUUCAUCUCCGGGGGUAGAGCACUGUUUCGGCAAGGGGGUCAUCCCGACUUACCAACCCGAUGCAAACUGCGAAUACCGGAGAAUGUUAUCACGGGAGACACACGGCGGGUGCUAACGUCCGUCGUGAAGAGGGAAACAACCCAGACCGCCAGCUAAGGUCCCAAAGUCAUGGUUAAGUGGGAAACGAUGUGGGAAGGCCCAGACAGCCAGGAUGUUGGCUUAGAAGCAGCCAUCAUUUAAAGAAAGCGUAAUAGCUCACUGGUCGAGUCGGCCUGCGCGGAAGAUGUAACGGGGCUAAACCAUGCACCGAAGCUGCGGCAGCGACACUAUGUGUUGUUGGGUAGGGGAGCGUUCUGUAAGCCUGUGAAGGUGUACUGUGAGGUAUGCUGGAGGUAUCAGAAGUGCGAAUGCUGACAUAAGUAACGAUAAAGCGGGUGAAAAGCCCGCUCGCCGGAAGACCAAGGGUUCCUGUCCAACGUUAAUCGGGGCAGGGUGAGUCGACCCCUAAGGCGAGGCCGAAAGGCGUAGUCGAUGGGAAACAGGUUAAUAUUCCUGUACUUGGUGUUACUGCGAAGGGGGACGGAGAAGGCUAUGUUGGCCGGGCGACGGUUGUCCCGGUUUAAGCGUGUAGGCUGGUUUUCCAGUGCAAAUCCGGAAAAUCAAGGCUGAGGCGUGAUGACGAGGCACUACGGUGCUGAAGCAACAAAUGCCCUGCUUCCAGGAAAGCCUCUAAGCAUCAGGUAACAUCAAAUCGUACCCCAAACCGACACAGGUGGUCAGGUAGAGAAUACCAAGGCGCUUGAGAGAACUCGGGUGAAGGAACUAGGCAAAAUGGUGCCGUAACUUCGGGAGAAGGCACGCUGAUACGUAGGUGAAGCGACUUGCUCGUGGAGCUGAAAUCAGUCGAAGAUACCAGCUGGCUGCAACUGUUUAUUAAAAACACAGCACUGUGCAAACACGAAAGUGGACGUAUACGGUGUGACGCCUGCCCGGUGCCGGAAGGUUAAUUGAUGGGGUUAGCGGUAACGCGAAGCUCUUGAUCGAAGCCCCGGUAAACGGCGGCCGUAACUAUAACGGUCCUAAGGUAGCGAAAUUCCUUGUCGGGUAAGUUCCGACCUGCACGAAUGGCGUAAUGAUGGCCGGGCUGUCUCCACCCGAGACUCAGUGAAAUUGAACUCGCUGUGAAGAUGCAGUGUACCCGCGGCAAGACGGAAAGACCCCGUGAACCUUUACUAUAGCUUGACACUGAACAUUGAGCCUUGAUGUGUAGGAUAGGUGGGAGGCUUUGAAGUGUGGACGCCAGUCUGCAUGGAGCCGACCUUGAAAUACCACCCUUUAAUGUUUGAUGUUCUAACGUUGGCCCCUAAUCGGGGUUGCGGACAGUGUCUGGUGGGUAGUUUGACUGGGGCGGUCUCCUCCUAAAGAGUAACGGAGGAGCACGAAGGUUGGCUAAUCCUGGUCGGACAUCAGGAGGUUAGUGCAAUGGCAUAAGCCAGCUUGACUGCGAGCGUGACGGCGCGAGCAGGUGCGAAAGCAGGUCAUAGUGAUCCGGUGGUUCUGAAUGGAAGGGCCAUCGCUCAACGGAUAAAAGGUACUCCGGGGAUAACAGGCUGAUACCGCCCAAGAGUUCAUAUCGACGGCGGUGUUUGGCACCUCGAUGUCGGCUCAUCACAUCCUGGGGCUGAAGUAGGUCCCAAGGGUAUGGCUGUUCGCCAUUUAAAGUGGUACGCGAGCUGGGUUUAGAACGUCGUGAGACAGUUCGGUCCCUAUUUGCCGUGGGCGCUGGAGAACUGAGGGGGCUGCUCCUAGUACGAGAGGACCGGAGUGGACGCAUCACUGGUGUUCGGGUUGUCAUGCCAAUGGCACUGCCCGGUAGCUAAAUGCGGAAGAGAUAAGUGCUGAAAGCAUCUAAGCACGAAACUUGCCCCGAGAUGAGUUCUCCCUGACUCCCUGAGAGUCCUGAAGGAACGUUGAAGACGACGACGUUGAUAGGCCGGGUGUGUAAGCGCAGCGAUGCGUUGAGCUAACCGGUACUAAUGAACCGUGAGGCUUAACCUU
RNAcentral lists this ribosomal RNA (2898 nucleotides) under Escherichia coli. RNAcentral's name for it is "23S ribosomal RNA". It matches the Rfam family "Bacterial large subunit ribosomal RNA". The record is from RNAcentral. Lineage: Bacteria; Pseudomonadati; Pseudomonadota; Gammaproteobacteria; Enterobacterales; Enterobacteriaceae.